GCUGACACGUAGGUGAAGUGAUUUACUCAUGGAGCUGAAGUCAGUCGAAGAUACCAGCUGGCUGCAACUGUUUAUUAAAAACACAGCACUGUGCAAACACGAAAGUGGACGUAUACGGUGUGACGCCUGCCCGGUGCCGGAAGGUUAAUUGAUGGGGUCAGCGCAAGCGAAGCUCCUGAUCGAAGCCCCGGUAAACGGCGGCCGUAACUAUAACGGUCCUAAGGUAGCGAAAUUCCUUGUCGGGUAAGUUCCGACCUGCACGAAUGGCGUAAUGAUGGCCAGGCUGUCUCCACCCGAGACUCAGUGAAAUUGAACUCGCUGUGAAGAUGCAGUGUACCCGCGGCAAGACGGAAAGACCCCGUGAACCUUUACUAUAGCUUGACACUGAACAUUGAGCCUUGAUGUGUAGGAUAGGUGGGAGGCUUUGAAGUGUGGACGCCAGUCUGCAUGGAGCCGACCUUGAAAUACCACCCUUUAAUGUUUGAUGUUCUAACGUGGACCCGUAAUCCGGGUUGCGGACAGUGUCUGGUGGGUAGUUUGACUGGGGCGGUCUCCUCCUAAAGAGUAACGGAGGAGCACGAAGGUUGGCUAAUCCUGGUCGGACAUCAGGAGGUUAGUGCAAUGGCAUAAGCCAGCUUGACUGCGAGCGUGACGGCGCGAGCAGGUGCGAAAGCAGGUCAUAGUGAUCCGGUGGUUCUGAAUGGAAGGGCCAUCGCUCAACGGAUAAAAGGUACUCCGGGGAUAACAGGCUGAUACCGCCCAAGAGUUCAUAUCGACGGCGGUGUUUGGCACCUCGAUGUCGGCUCAUCACAUCCUGGGGCUGAAGUAGGUCCCAAGGGUAUGGCUGUUCGCCAUUUAAAGUGGUACGCGAGCUGGGUUUAGAACGUCGUGAGACAGUUCGGUCCCUAUCUGCCGUGGGCGCUGGAGAACUGAGGGGGGCUGCUCCUAGUACGAGAGGACCGGAGUGGACGCAUCACUGGUGUUCGGGUUGUCAUGCCAAUGGCACUGCCCGGUAGCUAAAUGCGGAAGAGAUAAGUGCUGAAAGCAUCUAAGCACGAAACUUGCCCCGAGAUGAGUUCUCCCUGAGACUUAGAGUCUCCUGAAGGAACGUUGAAGACGACGACGUUGAUAGGCCGGGUGUGUAAGCGCAGCGAUGCGUUGAGCUAACCGGUACUAAUGAACCGUGAGGCUUAACCUUACA
This 1201-nucleotide ribosomal RNA is filed under the name Salmonella enterica. Its description in RNAcentral is "partial 23S ribosomal RNA". It matches the Rfam family "Bacterial large subunit ribosomal RNA", at positions 1750 to 2925 of the family's 2925-position model. Lineage: Bacteria; Pseudomonadati; Pseudomonadota; Gammaproteobacteria; Enterobacterales; Enterobacteriaceae. RNAcentral also lists the same sequence under 1 other name. The record is from RNAcentral.